GUAUAAACUUAAAACUAAAACGUUUAAUUACCAAAUUCCAAACACAAUUGAUCACCACCAAGACAAUCUUUGCCAGAAACUAUGGGACAGCUGCUGUAAUUUCAUAUAUUUUGAAAGGAAUAGCGCCCCCCGUUCCCCCAGUUCAAUGUUGGGCCAACAAAAAUCCGAUGUCUGGAUGCGCGGCGCCAACAUUGAAACGGGUGGGGGGAGGGAGGGGGGAAAAUAUGUAUCAGCAAAUGGUAUAAUUAUUACAACCGAAUGCAUGUGAAAACUAGAUUGUCCCAAUCUAUAUUGUCAAAGAUUGUAGGUCUAGGCUGUUCAAAGUGAGGUUGGCCAUAUAAAAUUACUUCUAAGAAUUAAAAUAAAGCUACUGAGUAACAAUCAAAAGCAGUUUAAAAUGUUUUUAUUCAAUUCGAAAUUUGAAAUAGCAACCAAAAACGAGUUUCGUGUUCAUAAUGAUCACUGGCUGUCAAGAUAAGAAACUAGCGUGACCCCGUCCUCAAUAAUCCAAGACAGCGGACAGUUCAUUGCUUUCAGUCAAAAUAUUUCAAGAAUCAAGCAAGAUAUGAAACAUCAGUAACAAGAUUUUAGAAAAUUUUAAACGUUCUUUCGAAUGAGACAAUAACAUUUUUUGUUGCCAUUCUCCUUUUUAUCCUGACCUAUAUACUUGUCUCUUCUGUAAACAGAAUAUAGAAAAGUGCAUUUAUAUCGGACUAUUUUUGUAAUUUGUAAGGGACCGGUCAUAAAGUAACUGCUAGGGUGGGCUGGAGUGAUUUGGGAUGGGCCAUGGAAAAUCUUUCGACAGUUUCGAUGGGCCGCCAAAUAUUUUGUAUGUCCACGGUUGGGCAACCAAACAAAAACCCAUGCAUGUCUAUACUUCCAAAAAUAAAGAUAUUAAUAAUAAAAGUAAACAAAACUAUCCGAAUUAUCAAAUGUAAAUGAUGCUAUUGAAUCCAGUACUUUACAGCAAAUACAACCAACUGGAGAACAGCUCAGUAUCGUAAUUGGUGAAUUUUGAAAGUAAUAUAUGAACAACGAGAGCGAGUGUUUCACCGGGAUAUCCAAACACGAGAAAACAAUGUAUGAGAACACGAGCGCGAAGCGCGAGUGUUUUCAUACAUUGUUCAGUUUCGAGUGUUUGGAUAUCCCGGUGAGACACGAGCUUCUCAAAUGAAUAUAUGGCUUCUCAAAUGAUCGAGACGUAACAGAAUGUUUUCGUUUGCUGAUUUGAAUAGAAUUCUUAACCAAGCAUAACGUAAUUAGGAAUUCUAUUCAAGUAAUUUUGCAUGCGUAAUUAAGAUAUUUGAUGAAAACACUAGUGACUUUCAUCCAGUAUCCAAAUGGCAUCUUGUGAUCAAAUAGGUGAUUAUCAUUGGCUGAAUUACUCAUGAAUUAUUAACGAAUUUGAGAAAUGUUGGUCAAGCUUGGUGGAAUUACGUAUGCCAAUACAGUGCCGGUGUAUAUUUACAAUGUUCAUACCUGCAAGUUUGUUUUUUUAUUAUAAGAGUGUAUUUUCCCAAUUUAGAUUGGGUGGGUCAUGAAAAUUUUUUUGUAAGAUUAGAUGGGCUUUGAAAUUUUUAUCUACAUCCUAAGAUGGGUCACCGAACUUAUUGGCAAAAUUUCUGAUUUACCUCCAGCCCACCCUAGCAGUUACUUUAUGACCAGUCCCUAAUGGGUCACCGUUCGAAAACUAAUUGUUCUUCGAGCAACCCUUUUACGUUUUUAAAUCAAAUUGCAAUUCAAUAGAAUUGGUCGAAAAGUUCAAUAGUUGAUAUACAUGCACCAAUUCUUCCAGUCUCAAAUAUAUACGGAUUCAGUCGCAAUUUUACGCUGUCAAGGUCGAAGAAAACGUUAGUUCGAAGCUAUACGCUUUGUAUGUACGUACCGAACGAUUUCAUUUUUUAUCAUGGACAAAAAUUGAUAAGAUUUUUAACGUUUGUGUUUUAUACUACAGGAUAAUAGAUAGCUUAAGAUCUACGACGUCGACGUCAGCUAGGACGUCAGGGAUAUGCAGAGGACUGGGACUACAUUAGGACGACAUCCUAUUCCCAGUCCUCUGCAUAGCCCUGACGUCCUAGCUGACGUCAACGUCGUAGAUCUUAAGCUAUCUAAUAUUUGCUGAAAAAUAUUAAAUCCGUAUUUGCUGUUCCCAUGGCGAUCAAGAAACGCCCCUUAAGGUAACUUAAGAAAGAAUAUUAAUGAUUUCAUUAUUAAUUAAAUGGAG
This is a non-coding RNA of Paramuricea clavata, 2224 nucleotides long. The record is from the annotation of a GenBank genome assembly. Lineage: Eukaryota; Metazoa; Cnidaria; Anthozoa; Malacalcyonacea; Plexauridae.